Triticum dicoccoides is the source of this 450-nucleotide long non-coding RNA. RefSeq lists it as uncharacterized. Lineage: Eukaryota; Viridiplantae; Streptophyta; Magnoliopsida; Poales; Poaceae. The transcript has 3 exons. The record is from RefSeq and is a predicted model, not a curated record.
CUUCCUAUGGCGACCUCCUCUGUCGCACGACGGCAUUGUCUGGCCUGCACUGCAACCGCUGCCAUGCCUACAAUCCUCUCCGGUGUCCACUGAUCAGUGAGUAAGGUUGAUAUGACAACCGAAUCAGUCCACUGACAGAGUUAAAGAGAGACGAAGAGCUAUGCUGGAGACAAAUGAACUAGGUGUAUCAAUUCUUAAGGACCUUUAUCAACAACAGUAGACACUGCUGCAUGCUCACACCAGAGUUUCCUUGGUGGUGAGAGCCGCAAAGGAAGUUUGAGCUGUAGAGGUGAAGCUGUAGAGGUGAAGUUGAUGAUUAAGAGGGUCUGUAGAAUGUUGUAUAUUUGUUGAUGUAAUCUGGUUAUUGAGGGCAUGUGAACUGAUGUUGGAUGUGUUCUUGGGCACAUUUUAAAAGGCCUUUACUCAGUGAAAUAAUUGAAUAGAAAUUUA